GACGGACGCUGGCGGCGUGCUUAACACAUGCAAGUCGAACGGAAAGGCCCCAGCUUGCUGGGGUACUCGAGUGGCGAACGGGUGAGUAACACGUGGGUGAUCUGCCCUGCACUCUGGGAUAAGCCUGGGAAACUGGGUCUAAUACCGGAUAGGACCGUGCUUUAGUGUGUGCGGUGGAAAGUUUUUCGGUGCAGGAUGAGCCCGCGGCCUAUCAGCUUGUUGGUGGGGUAAUGGCCUACCAAGGCGGCGACGGGUAGCCGGCCUGAGAGGGUGUACGGCCACAUUGGGACUGAGACACGGCCCAGACUCCUACGGGAGGCAGCAGUGGGGAAUAUUGCACAAUGGGCGCAAGCCUGAUGCAGCGACGCCGCGUGGGGGAUGACGGCCUUCGGGUUGUAAACCCCUUUCGGCAGGGACGAAGCUUUUGUGACGGUACCUGCAUAAGUAGCACCGGCUAACUACGUG
RNAcentral lists this ribosomal RNA (465 nucleotides) under uncultured bacterium. RNAcentral's name for it is "partial 16S ribosomal RNA". It matches the Rfam family "Bacterial small subunit ribosomal RNA", at positions 28 to 507 of the family's 1533-position model. The record is from RNAcentral.